Molecule: ribosomal RNA, 260 nt
Filed under: uncultured bacterium
Lineage: Bacteria
Description: partial 16S ribosomal RNA
Rfam family: Bacterial small subunit ribosomal RNA
Source: RNAcentral
UACGAAGGGGGCUAGCGUUGCUCGGAAUCACUGGGUUUAAAGGGUGCGUAGGUGGCGCGUUAAGUCCGUUGUGAAAUCCCUUGGCUCAACCAAGGAAAUGCUUCGGAUACUGGCGUGCUUGAGGCUAGUAGGGGGUCACUGGAACUGACGGUGGAGCGGUGAAAUGCGUAGAUAUCGUCAGGAACGCCGAUGGUGAAGACAGGUGACUGGGCUAGUUCUGGACACUGAGGCACGAAAAGCGUGGGGGAGCGAACGGGGGA